CUGAAGAUAGAGGCUGACGAAUUGGUGAAACACAUUGUUAUCUAUUUGGCUUUAAGCAUUCCCAUUCUUCCUCCUUCCCUCCUACUGGCUGGGCUGCACAGCUGAGCCUGAGUCAGCUUACCAAAGUUAUCAGCACAAGUGAAUCACUUCCAUAUGAAGCUGAUCAGGGAACAGUACCAGAAAUGCUCAGAGCAGAGAGCUGGAACUUCUGGGACCACAGGACCAUGGAUGGUGCUUCCAGGCAAGAAGCAUCUGUAACUACUGGGUAAUUAAAAAAAGAAAAUUAAAACUCACAUCUUGUGCACAAAAAUUUACCUCUUUUUU
Non-coding RNA from Lonchura striata (white-rumped munia), 324 nucleotides. NCBI's taxonomy places the organism in Eukaryota, Metazoa, Chordata, Aves, Passeriformes, Estrildidae. The record is from RefSeq and is a predicted model, not a curated record.